GAUGAACGCUGGCGGCGUGCCUAAUACAUGCAAGUCGAGCGAACGGACGAGAAGCUUGCUUCUCUGAUGUUAGCGGCGGACGGGUGAGUAACACGUAGAUAACCUACCUAUAAGACUGGGAUAACUUCGGGAAACCGGAGCUAAUACCGGAUAAUAUUUUGAACCGCAUGGUUCAAAAGUGAAAGACGGUCUUGCUGUCACUUAUAGAUGGAUCCGCGCUGCAUUAGCUAGUUGGUAAGGUAACGGCUUACCAAGGCGACGAUGCAUAGCCGACCUGAGAGGGUGAUCGGCCACACUGGAACUGAGACACGGUCCAGACUCCUACGGGAGGCAGCAGUAGGGAAUCUUCCGCAAUGGGCGAAAGCCUGACGGAGCAACGCCGCGUGAGUGAUGAAGGUCUUCGGAUCGUAAAACUCUGUUAUUAGGGAAGAACAUAUGUGUAAGUAACUGUGCACAUCUUGACGGUACCUAAUCAGAAAGCCACGGCUAACUACGUGCCAGCAGCCGCGGUAAUACGUAGGUGGCAAGCGUUAUCCGGAAUUAUUGGGCGUAAAGCGCGCGUAGGCGGUUUUUUAAGUCUGAUGUGAAAGCCCACGGCUCAACCGUGGAGGGUCAUUGGAAACUGGAAAACUUGAGUGCAGAAGAGGAAAGUGGAAUUCCAUGUGUAGCGGUGAAAUGCGCAGAGAUAUGGAGGAACACCAGUGGCGAAGGCGACUUUCUGGUCUGUAACUGACGCUGAUGUGCGAAAGCGUGGGGAUCAAACAGGAUUAGAUACCCUGGUAGUCCACGCCGUAAACGAUGAGUGCUAAGUGUUAGGGGGUUUCCGCCCCUUAGUGCUGCAGCUAACGCAUUAAGCACUCCGCCUGGGGAGUACGACCGCAAGGUUGAAACUCAAAGGAAUUGACGGGGACCCGCACAAGCGGUGGAGCAUGUGGUUUAAUUCGAAGCAACGCGAAGAACCUUACCAAAUCUUGACAUCCUUUGACAACUCUAGAGAUAGAGCCUUCCCCUUCGGGGGACAAAGUGACAGGUGGUGCAUGGUUGUCGUCAGCUCGUGUCGUGAGAUGUUGGGUUAAGUCCCGCAACGAGCGCAACCCUUAAGCUUAGUUGCCAUCAUUAAGUUGGGCACUCUAAGUUGACUGCCGGUGACAAACCGGAGGAAGGUGGGGAUGACGUCAAAUCAUCAUGCCCCUUAUGAUUUGGGCUACACACGUGCUACAAUGGACAAUACAAAGGGCAGCGAAACCGCGAGGUCAAGCAAAUCCCAUAAAGUUGUUCUCAGUUCGGAUUGUAGUCUGCAACUCGACUACAUGAAGCUGGAAUCGCUAGUAAUCGUAGAUCAGCAUGCUACGGUGAAUACGUUCCCGGGUCU
Molecule: ribosomal RNA, 1372 nt
Filed under: uncultured bacterium
Lineage: Bacteria
Description: bacterial SSU rRNA
Rfam family: Bacterial small subunit ribosomal RNA
Source: RNAcentral